UUUUCCUACGGGGCGCAGCAGUGAGGAAUAUUGGUCAAUGGGCGAGAGCCUGAACCAGCCAAGUCGCGUGAAGGAUGAAGGAUCUAUGGUUUGUAAACUUCUUUUAUAUGGGAAUACAGUGAGGAACGUGUUCCUUUUUGUAUGUACCAUAUGAAUAAGCAUCGGCUAACUCCGUGCCAGCAGCCGCGGUAAUACGGAGGAUGCGAGCGUUAUCCGGAUUUAUUGGGUUUAAAGGGUGCGUAUGUGGUUACUUAAGUCAGC
Molecule: ribosomal RNA, 261 nt
Filed under: uncultured bacterium
Lineage: Bacteria
Description: partial 16S ribosomal RNA
Rfam family: Bacterial small subunit ribosomal RNA
Source: RNAcentral